GCUAGGCAUGGUGGCACAUGCCUGUAAUCCCAGCUACUAGGGAGGCUGAGGCAGGAGGAUCACUUGAGCCCAGGAGGUCUAGGCUGCAGUGAGCUAUGAUUGCACCAUUGCAGUCCAGCCUGGGCAACAGAGUGAGACCCUGUCUCAA
RNAcentral lists this signal recognition particle RNA (148 nucleotides) under Nomascus leucogenys (northern white-cheeked gibbon). RNAcentral describes it as "Metazoan signal recognition particle RNA". It matches the Rfam family "Metazoan signal recognition particle RNA". Rfam says of the family: The signal recognition particle (SRP) is a universally conserved ribonucleoprotein. Lineage: Eukaryota; Metazoa; Chordata; Mammalia; Primates; Hylobatidae. The record is from Rfam by way of RNAcentral.